This 624-nucleotide long non-coding RNA is filed under the name Phascolarctos cinereus (koala). Its description in RNAcentral is "lncRNA (ENSPCIG00000017938.2)". Lineage: Eukaryota; Metazoa; Chordata; Mammalia; Diprotodontia; Phascolarctidae. The record is from RNAcentral.
CUUACACAUUGACUGGCCUUCAAAAGAAGCAUACUGGAAAUGGAAUCUGUCAUUUGCCUGAAGUAAAUAGAGUGGCUAGACCCCCAUUAGAGGGGGCUUCACACUCAUGAAGAAUAGAUUGUGUGAACCUUUGGGAAAGAUGCACUCCAAGGGUUGUGUGUGACUUGGAAAUGGAGCUUAAAUGAUGCCUGUAUCCAACUGGUACAAAUCACAUUAUGCCUGGAUUUCCUCUCAACAUCUUCACAGAGGGAAAGAAACUGAAGAACAGGGUAUAUUAGUGCCUGACCAAAGAGUGAAUGAUUGGGUGGAGCACCCUGCCUGAGGAGAUGGAAACCUGGAACAAAGACGUGUUUUUGAAAUGUCUGUGGCUCUGCUUUGCCUCAUCUCUCCUGCUGGAUCUGAAGCAGCGCCUGGCAAUAAAGCAGAACCAUGCACCCAGCAACACCUUUGAUCUCGACCAUAUGGAGUUCCUCCUUGCUCUUGAAAAAAUCUCCCUUGUCUCCGAGAGAAACUGGGGCCCCCAGAUGGCCACAUACCACUCCUGACCACGACUUCAUUGAUUAUGCUAUUUUCUGAUUGGUCCUGAUUGAAAAUAAAUAAAACGUGCCUUUGGAAUGGGAUGCA